Cladorrhinum samala is the source of this 122-nucleotide non-coding RNA. The record is from the annotation of a GenBank genome assembly. NCBI's taxonomy places the organism in Eukaryota, Fungi, Ascomycota, Sordariomycetes, Sordariales, Podosporaceae.
GGUUGUGUAGUGUAGUGGUCAUCACUCCAGAUUUUGAUCAGAAAGUUAUUUAUCAGGACCUUGUGGUUCUGCUUUCGGUUCUCAAUCUUCUGGAAACCCCGGUUCGAACCCGGGCACGACCU